RNAcentral lists this ribosomal RNA (468 nucleotides) under uncultured bacterium. RNAcentral describes it as "partial 16S ribosomal RNA". It matches the Rfam family "Bacterial small subunit ribosomal RNA", at positions 28 to 507 of the family's 1533-position model. The record is from RNAcentral.
GACGAACGCUGGCGGCGUGCUUAACACAUGCAAGUCGAACGGAAAGGCCCUGCUUUUGUGGGGUGCUCGAGUGGCGAACGGGUGAGUAACACGUGAGUAACCUGCCCUUGACUUUGGGAUAACUUCAGGAAACUGGGGCUAAUACCGGAUAGGAGCUCCUGCUGCAUGGUGGGGGUUGGAAAGUUUCGGCGGUUGGGGAUGGACUCGCGGCUUAUCAGCUUGUUGGUGGGGUAGUGGCUUACCAAGGCUUUGACGGGUAGCCGGCCUGAGAGGGUGACCGGCGACAUUGGGACUGAGAUACGGCCCAGACUCCGACGGGAGGCAGCAGUGGGGAAUAUUGCACAAUGGGCGGAAGCCUGAUGCAGCAACGCCGCGUGCGGGAUGACGGCCUUCGGGUUGUAAACCGCUUUCGCCUGUGACGAAGCGUGAGUGACGGUAAUGGGUAAAGAAGCACCGGCUAACUACGUG